Molecule: transfer RNA, 66 nt
Filed under: Anaerotruncus colihominis
Lineage: Bacteria; Bacillati; Bacillota; Clostridia; Eubacteriales; Oscillospiraceae
Also listed under: 6 other names
Rfam family: tRNA
About the family: Transfer RNA (tRNA) molecules are approximately 80 nucleotides in length. Their secondary structure includes four short double-helical elements and three loops (D, anti-codon, and T loops).
Source: RNAcentral
AGUAUGGCUCAGUUGGUAGAGCAGCGCAUUCGUAAUGCGCAGGUCGUCGGUUCGAGUCCGACUACU